RNAcentral lists this ribosomal RNA (395 nucleotides) under uncultured bacterium. RNAcentral's name for it is "bacterial SSU rRNA". It matches the Rfam family "Bacterial small subunit ribosomal RNA", at positions 29 to 429 of the family's 1533-position model. The record is from RNAcentral.
AUUAAACGCUGGCGGCAUGCCUUACACAUGCAAGUCGAACGGUAGCGCGGGGCAACCUGGCGACGAGUGGCGAACGGGUGAGUAAAGCAUCGGAACGUGCCCUGGAAUGGGGGAUAACGUAGCGAAAGUUACGCUAAUACCGCAUAUUCUGUGAGCAGGAAAGCAGGGAAUCGCAAGACCUUGCGUUCUGGGAGCGGCCGAUGUCGGAUUAGCUAGUUGGUGGGGUAAAAGCCUACCAAGGCGACGAUCCGUAGCGGGUCUGAGAGGAUGAUCCGCCACACUGGGACUGAGACACGGCCCAGACUCCUACGGGAGGCAGCAGUGGGGAAUUUUGGACAAUGGGCGGAAGCCUGAUCCAGCCAUGCCGCGUGAGUGAAGAAGGCCUCGGUUGUAAG